AGCUUUAAGUAUUUUAUUUAAAGUACAACCUGCUCAAUGAGAAUUUAAAUAGCCGCAGUACCCUGACUGUGCAAAGGUAGCAUAAUCAGUUGACUUAUAAUUGAAGUCUAGUAUGAAUGGGAACACGGGAAUAUUCUGUCUUUAAUAUAUAAAAGAAAUUACUAAUUAAGUGAAAAUUCUUAAAAAUAAGAAAAUAGACGAGAAGACCCUAGAAAUUUUUUAAUUUGAUUUUGUUGGGGCGACAGGGUAACAAAAAACUUACCUAAAGUAAUAGGAAAUUUUUUAGUGGUGUAAUUAAAUUACUCUAGGGAUAACAGCAUAAUAUUUUAAAGGUUGUGACCUCGAUGUUGGACUAGGAAAUACACUACUUAAAAGGUAGUGUUUAUGGUUCUGUUCGAACUUUUACUCCUACAU
RNAcentral lists this ribosomal RNA (414 nucleotides) under Monacha cartusiana. Its description in RNAcentral is "partial large subunit ribosomal RNA". Lineage: Eukaryota; Metazoa; Mollusca; Gastropoda; Stylommatophora; Hygromiidae. The record is from RNAcentral.